RNAcentral lists this ribosomal RNA (261 nucleotides) under uncultured bacterium. RNAcentral's name for it is "partial 16S ribosomal RNA". It matches the Rfam family "Bacterial small subunit ribosomal RNA", at positions 57 to 305 of the family's 1533-position model. The record is from RNAcentral.
GCAAGUCGAGCGAAGUUUAAGAGAUGCUUGCAUCACUUGAACUUAGCGGCGAACGGGUGAGUAACACGUAAAGAACCUGCCUCAUAGACUGGGACAACUACUGGAAACGGUAGCUAAUACCGGAUAAUAUAUUUCUUUGCAUGAAGGAAUAUUGAAAGUCGGUCAAGCUGACACUAUGAGAUGGCUUUGCGGUGCAUUAGCUAGUUGGUAGGGUAAAGGCCUACCAAGGCAACGAUGCAUAGCCGACCUGAGAGGGUGAUC